CCUACGGGUGGCAGCAGUGAGGAAUAUUGGUCAAUGGACGAGAGUCUGAACCAGCCAAGUCGCGUGAAGGAUGACUGCCCUAUGGGUUGUAAACUUCUUUUAUAUGGGAAUAAAACGUUCCACGUGUGGGAUUUUGUAUGUACCAUAUGAAUAAGCAUCGGCUAACUCCGUGCCAGCAGCCGCGGUAAUACGGAGGAUCCGAGCGUUAUCCGGAUUUAUUGGGUUUAAAGGGUGCGUAGGUGGAUUGUUAAGUCAGUUGUGAAAGUUUGGGGCUCAACCGUAAAAGUGCAGUUGAAACUGGCAGUCUUGAGUACAGUAGAGGUGGGCGGAAUUCGUGGUGUAGCGGUGAAAUGCUUAGAUAUCACGAAGAACUCCGAUUGCGAAGGCAGUUCACUGGACUGCAACUGACACUGAGGCACGAAAGUGUGGGUAUCAAACAGGAUUAGAUACCCCGGUAGUC
This 460-nucleotide ribosomal RNA is filed under the name uncultured bacterium. Its description in RNAcentral is "partial 16S ribosomal RNA". It matches the Rfam family "Bacterial small subunit ribosomal RNA", at positions 338 to 795 of the family's 1533-position model. The record is from RNAcentral.